Long non-coding RNA from Oryzias latipes (Japanese medaka), 1101 nucleotides. RefSeq lists it as uncharacterized. Lineage: Eukaryota; Metazoa; Chordata; Actinopteri; Beloniformes; Adrianichthyidae. The record is from RefSeq and is a predicted model, not a curated record.
AAAUGAACAAAAUGUUUUAAAUUUAAUUUAGAUGAGCAUUAAAGACAAUCAAGUUGUUCUAUUUAACCAAGUAGAUGGUUGUUCCUGAUUUUUUUGUUCAUGUUAUUUUCUUCAAAUAACAACAAAUUACAGAUUUAAUGUAGCGUUGGUGAAUGUAAACUCUCUAGAAAUAUGCAUUUUCAUCUUACUUGAGGCUACAUUCAUCCUUAGAAACUAAGGGAAAUAGUUGGUGGUCUGAAAAAAUAAAAUCCUGAACUGCAAUCACUUGACAGUAAUUAAAAUGGUAUUAUUCGUUCUCUCUAAAGGUCUGACAAACAUCCUCUGCUCCCGAUGAACAAAGAGAGCCUUGAUUUUCACGUCUCCUGUGGAGCUGCUGUUCUCAUCCUGCUGGAAUGCAGACUGCAAACGUUUGUGGUUAUCCUUGUUUCAUUUGUACUUCAACCGUACGUUCUUGAAGAUGGAAACUCAGAGGAACAUACGACGCAAGAACGCAUAACAAUAAACUGGGAAGGAAAAAUCCAGUAUGGAGCGCUGCAAAGAAAGCUGGAUUUUAGAUUACGUAACAAAGGAAACGGGCUUUUCGGAUCAGGUUCAGAUGUCGGUAUCCAGAGCCAAUAAAAAGAGACUACUGUUAGAGGCUAUUUCAUAAAGAACACGCAAAAGACAAAAGAUGCCAAGAACAACAGAAAGCUGGACCAAUACAUCAGCGCAUAAAAAGAGGAUGGAGAGGAUGAUGACACCUGUGAUGACACCUGUGCGUGUCAAAAUAAAAGCUUUCAAGUUGAGCAAAAGGAUGUCAUAUUUACAGUAAAACAAGUUCAAAAACAGACAACUUCAUAGACUCAAACUGGGACAUCAGAGUCAUUACGGGUGACGCCAACCGUUUCCUAUGAAGACAUCGUUUCAUUUUGCUCAAAUCACUGAUCCUAAAUAAACGAGUCCUUUUCCAGACGGCUACAGAAAGUGGAUAUCAGCCCGCAGAACCACUCAGAGUCUACAAACAAAGCAGAACUGCCUUUGGCGAUCAGCUUGAACAUUCGACCGCCUAGAAGGCCAUACUCCACCGUGCUCUCCGUCUUAUUAAAGGUGGUCCAGGUUACC